Molecule: ribosomal RNA, 1317 nt
Filed under: Escherichia coli
Lineage: Bacteria; Pseudomonadati; Pseudomonadota; Gammaproteobacteria; Enterobacterales; Enterobacteriaceae
Description: partial 23S ribosomal RNA
Rfam family: Bacterial large subunit ribosomal RNA
Source: RNAcentral
GUGAUGACGAGGCACUACGGUGCUGAAGCAACAAAUGCCCUGCUUCCAGGAAAAGCCUCUAAGCAUCAGGUAACAUCAAAUCGUACCCCAAACCGACACAGGUGGUCAGGUAGAGAAUACCAAGGCGCUUGAGAGAACUCGGGUGAAGGAACUAGGCAAAAUGGUGCCGUAACUUCGGGAGAAGGCACGCUGAUAUGUAGGUGAAGUCCCUCGCGGAUGGAGCUGAAAUCAGUCGAAGAUACCAGCUGGCUGCAACUGUUUAUUAAAAACACAGCACUGUGCAAACACGAAAGUGGACGUAUACGGUGUGACGCCUGCCCGGUGCCGGAAGGUUAAUUGAUGGGGUCAGCGCAAGCGAAGCUCUUGAUCGAAGCCCCGGUAAACGGCGGCCGUAACUAUAACGGUCCUAAGGUAGCGAAAUUCCUUGUCGGGUAAGUUCCGACCUGCACGAAUGGCGUAAUGAUGGCCAGGCUGUCUCCACCCGAGACUCAGUGAAAUUGAACUCGCUGUGAAGAUGCAGUGUACCCGCGGCAAGACGGAAAGACCCCGUGAACCUUUACUAUAGCUUGACACUGAACAUUGAGCCUUGAUGUGUAGGAUAGGUGGGAGGCUUAGAAGUGUGGACGCCAGUCUGCAUGGAGCCGACCUUGAAAUACCACCCUUUAAUGUUUGAUGUUCUAACGUUGACCCGUAAUCCGGGUUGCGGACAGUGUCUGGUGGGUAGUUUGACUGGGGCGGUCUCCUCCUAAAGAGUAACGGAGGAGCACGAAGGUUGGCUAAUCCUGGUCGGACAUCAGGAGGUUAGUGCAAUGGCAUAAGCCAGCUUGACUGCGAGCGUGACGGCGCGAGCAGGUGCGAAAGCAGGUCAUAGUGAUCCGGUGGUUCUGAAUGGAAGGGCCAUCGCUCAACGGAUAAAAGGUACUCCGGGGAUAACAGGCUGAUACCGCCCAAGAGUUCAUAUCGACGGCGGUGUUUGGCACCUCGAUGUCGGCUCAUCACAUCCUGGGGCUGAAGUAGGUCCCAAGGGUAUGGCUGUUCGCCAUUUAAAGUGGUACGCGAGCUGGGUUUAGAACGUCGUGAGACAGUUCGGUCCCUAUCUGCCGUGGGCGCUGGAGAACUGAGGGGGGCUGCUCCUAGUACGAGAGGACCGGAGUGGACGCAUCACUGGUGUUCGGGUUGUCAUGCCAAUGGCACUGCCCGGUAGCUAAAUGCGGAAGAGAUAAGUGCUGAAAGCAUCUAAGCACGAAACUUGCCCCGAGAUGAGUUCUCCCUGACUCCUUGAGAGUCCUGAAGGAACGUUGAAGACGACGACGUUGA